GUGAGGAAUAUUGGUCAAUGGGCGAGAGCCUGAACCAGCCAAGUCGCGUGAAGGAAGAAGGAUCUAUGGUUCGUAAACUUCUUUUGCAGGGGAAUAAAGUGCGGGGCGUGUCCUGUUUUGUAUGUACCCUGAGAAUAAGGAUCGGCUAACUCCGUGCCAGCAGCCGCGGUAAUACGGAGGAUCCGAGCGUUAUCCGGAUUUAUUGGGUUUAAAGGGUGCGUAGGUGGUUUGAUAAGUCAGCGGUGAAAGUUUGCAGCUUAACUGUAAAAAUGCCGUUGAAACUGUCGGACUUGAGUGUAAAUGAGGUAGGCGGAAUGCGUGGUGUAGCGGUGAAAUGCAUAGAUAUCACGCAGAACUCCGAUUGCGAAGGCAGCUUACUAAGCUACAACUGACACUGAAGCACGAAAGCGUGGGGAUCAAACAGGAUUAGAAACCCCUGUAGUCC
This 445-nucleotide ribosomal RNA is filed under the name uncultured bacterium. RNAcentral's name for it is "partial 16S ribosomal RNA". It matches the Rfam family "Bacterial small subunit ribosomal RNA", at positions 354 to 796 of the family's 1533-position model. The record is from RNAcentral.